AGAGUUUGAUCCUGGCUCAGGACGAACGUUGGCGGCGUGCCUAGUGCAUGCAAGUCGAACGAGGAACCCUUCCCGGGUAACCGGGAUUGGUUGCCUAGUGGCGAACGGGUGAGUAACACGUGAGGAACCUGCCCCGGAGACCGGAAUAGCCCAGGGAAACUUGGAUUAAUGCCGGAUACCCUCGGAUGGUCGCAUGACCGACUGAGGAAAUAGCCCGCUGCUCCGGGAUGGCCUCGUGGCCUAUCAGCUAGUUGGUGAGGUAACGGCUCACCAAGGCAAAGACGGGUAGCUGGUCUGAGAGGACGAUCAGCCACACUGGGACUGAGACACGGCCCAGACUCCUACGGGAGGCAGCAGCAGGGAAUAUUGCACAAUGGGCGAAAGCCUGAUGCAGCGACACCGCGUGCGGGAUGAAGGCCCUCGGGUUGUAAACCGCUUUCAGGAGGGACGAAAAUGACGGUACCUCCAGAAGAAGGCCCGGCCAACUACGUGCCAGCAGCCGCGGUAAUACGUAGGGGCCAAACGUUGUCCGGAUUUAUUGGGCGUAAAGGGCUCGUAGGCGGUUCAACAAGUCGAUCGUGAAAGCCCGGGGCUCAACCCCGGGACGCCGGUCGAAACUGUUGUGACUAGGGUCCGGUAGAAGUGAGUGGGAUUCUCGGUGUAGCGGUGGAAUGCGCAAAUAUCGAGAAGGACACCAGU
This 699-nucleotide ribosomal RNA is filed under the name uncultured bacterium. Its description in RNAcentral is "bacterial SSU rRNA". It matches the Rfam family "Bacterial small subunit ribosomal RNA", at positions 8 to 713 of the family's 1533-position model. The record is from RNAcentral.